RNAcentral lists this ribosomal RNA (460 nucleotides) under uncultured bacterium. Its description in RNAcentral is "partial 16S ribosomal RNA". It matches the Rfam family "Bacterial small subunit ribosomal RNA", at positions 338 to 795 of the family's 1533-position model. The record is from RNAcentral.
CCUACGGGCGACAGCAGUGAGGAAUAUUGGUCAAUGGACGAGAGUCUGAACCAGCCAAGUAGCGUGAAGGAUGACUGCCCUAUGGGUUGUAAACUUCUUUUAUAAAGGAAUAAAACGAGGCACGUGUGCCUUUUUGCAUGUACCUUAUGAAUAAGGAUCGGCUAACUCCGUGCCAGCAGCCGCGGUAAUACGGAGGGUCCGAGCGUUAUCCGGAUUUAUUGGGUUUAAAGGGAGCGUAGAUGGGUUGUUAAGUCAGUUGUGAAAGUUUGGGGCUCAACCGUAAAAUUGCAAUUGAUACUGGCAGUCUGGAGUGCAGUUGAGGUAGGCGGAAUUCGUGGUGUAGCGGUGAAAUGCAUAGAUAUCACGAAGAACCCCGAUUGCGAAGGCAGCUUACUAGACUGUGACUGACAUUGAUGCUCGAAAGUGUGGGUAUCAAACAGGAUUAGAUACCCGUGUAGUC